CAAAGAAACGCUACGUAACGGCAUGAAAGUUUUUUUUUUUUUUUUUUUUUUUUU
This 54-nucleotide non-coding RNA is filed under the name Prorocentrum micans. Lineage: Eukaryota; Dinophyceae; Prorocentrales; Prorocentraceae. The record is from RNAcentral.